AUGGGAGGAGGCAGGUGCAGGGGAAGAGGAGGAAGGGCAGAUGGGGAGGGAGGGGAUGAGGAGGGCUGGGCCGCGGAGGGAAGAGCAGGGUCCAGGACGAGGGUGGAGGAGCCCGGGAGGCAGAGGAGCCUCCGGGCUCUCUCUCGUCAACCUUUCACCUGGAUGAUAGGUCUGUGCUACCAGAUUUUGUCAUCCUCUGGCACGGCCCAGCGUAUUCACUCCUCCUGGAUGCACUUCUCUGCUCUGCCUGAAGGAUGGCGAUGAAAUGACAUCUCCAUGGAAACAAGUGUUGAUCCUACAGCUGCUUAGUGAUGUGGUGCAGGAUGAUGUAAGCUACGCUCUGGUUUCCUGAGGCGCUUGGUGUGCUUUGAUGUGCCUGUGCUACUGGAGCCCAGAUGAUUAGGAGGUUGCUUCCCUUGCUUCUCCCCUUCUUAUGUAAAAGGCAAAAAGAGCUGGAGAUUGAGCUGUGCUGGGAGGAAUGCUCUUGUAAAGACAGCUGUGUCAGGAGUCAGAGGUAAGAGGAUGAAGGUGACGGGUUUCCCUGGAGACCCACAGGUUGGGGGAGCCUUGGACACUGUGUCCAGGGGGGUAGCUGCUGGCCAAAGGCAAGCUUCCCCAUGACGCUGGGGGCAGCUGCCCUUUCCCCCCAGAGCAGCCCUAGCAGAACAGCACAAAUGGAAGCCUACACACUGGAUCUCCAGAUGCUUAAAAUUAUAAGCCUGGCCAGCAGAUUGUUAAAUAGAACAUAUUCGAUCCUCUGACCUUGGCGACAUGGCAGCCAGAACAGUGGCCCUCCAGAGAUGGCCACAUCCUAAUCCCAGAAACCGGUGAACUUGUUAUGUUGCAUUAGUGUUGUAGACAGAGGGAAGGUUGCACAACGAGCUGACUUCAGGACAGGGAGGAUUGCAGGCUAGAUUAUCUGUGUGGGUGCCGUGUAGUCACAGGGCCCUCAGGAGAGAAGGGCAAAGGAGAAGGGCAGAGUGGUGCCAUGGGAGAAAUACCCAACCGGCCGCUAUUGGGUCUGUGGGUGUUGGUGGCCCCUAGAUGCUAGAGAAGGCAAGAGGACAAAUCCUCACAUCAAGCCUCCAGAAAGGAACACAGUCCUGUCAACAGGAACACAGUCCUGUCAACA
This 1132-nucleotide long non-coding RNA is filed under the name Canis lupus familiaris (dog). RNAcentral's name for it is "lncRNA (ENSCAFG00845011860.1)". The record is from RNAcentral. Lineage: Eukaryota; Metazoa; Chordata; Mammalia; Carnivora; Canidae.